GAGUUUGAUCAUGGCUCAGAUUGAACGCUGGCGGCAUGCCUUACACAUGCAAGUCGAACGGUAACAGGGAGCUUGCUCCGCUGACGAGUGGCGAACGGGUGAGUAAUACAUCGGAACGUGCCCAGUAAUGGGGGAUAGCUCGGCGAAAGCCGGAUUAAUACCGCAUACGCCCUGAGGGGGAAAGUGGGGGACCGCAAGGCCUCACGUUAUUGGAGCGGCCGAUGGCUGAUUAGCUAGUUGGUAGGGUAAAGGCCUACCAAGGCGACGAUCAGUAGCUGGUCUGAGGGGACGAUCAGCCACACUGGGACUGAGACACGGCCCAGACUCCUACGGGAGGCAGCAGUGGGGAAUUUUGGACAAUGGGGGAAACCCUGAUCCAGCAAUGCCGCGUGUGCGAAGAAGGCCUUCGGGUUGUAAAGCACUUUUGUCAGGGAAGAAAUCCUUUGGGCUAAUACCCUAGGGGGAUGACGGUACCUGAAGAAUAAGCACCGGCUAACUACGUGCCAGCAGCCGCGGUAAUACGUAGGGUGCAAGCGUUAAUCGGAAUUACUGGGCGUAAAGCGUGCGCAGGCGGUUGUGUAAGACAGGUGUGAAAUCCCCGGGCUUAACCUGGGAAUUGCAUUUGUGACUGCACGACUAGAGUGUGUCAGAGGGGGGUGGAAUUCCACGUGUAGCAGUGAAAUGCGUAGAUAUGUGGAGGAACACCAAUGGCGAAAGGCAGCCCCCUGGGAUAACACUGACGCUCAUGCACGAAAGCGUGGGGAGCAAACAGGAUUAGAUACCCUGGUAGUCCACGCCCUAAACGAUGUCAACUAGUUGUUGGGGAUUUACUUCCUUGGUAACGUAGCUAACGCGUGAAGUUGACCGCCCUGGGGAGUACGGCCGCAAGUUAAACUCAAGGAAUUGACGGGGACCCGCACAGCGGUGGAUGAUGUUGAUUAAUUCGAUGCACGCGAAAACUACUACCCUGACAUGCAGACUUUCAGAGAUGAUGUGCUCGAAGAGACUGCACACAGUGCUGCAUGCUGUCGUCAGCUCGGGUUCCUGGAAUGUUAGUAGUCGCACGAGGCAACCUUGCCAUAUGCUCGAGUCACUCUAUGAACUGCGGUACUACCUGAGGAAAGGUGGGAGUGC
RNAcentral lists this ribosomal RNA (1134 nucleotides) under uncultured marine bacterium. RNAcentral describes it as "bacterial SSU rRNA". It matches the Rfam family "Bacterial small subunit ribosomal RNA", at positions 9 to 1183 of the family's 1533-position model. The record is from RNAcentral.